UGUGAAAUGUUGGGUUAAGUCCCGUAACGAGCGCAACCCUUGUCCUUAGUUGCCAGCGCGUAAUGGCGGGAACUCUAAGGAGACUGCCGGUGACAAACCGGAGGAAGGUGGGGACGACGUCAAGUCAUCAUGGCCCUUACGGGGUGGGCUACACACGUGCUACAAUGGCCGGUACAGACGGUUGCAAACCCGCGAGGGGGAGCCAAUCCGAGAAAACCGGUCGUAGUCCGGAUUGCAGUCUGCAACUCGACUGCA
RNAcentral lists this ribosomal RNA (255 nucleotides) under uncultured bacterium. Its description in RNAcentral is "partial 16S ribosomal RNA". It matches the Rfam family "Bacterial small subunit ribosomal RNA", at positions 1066 to 1320 of the family's 1533-position model. The record is from RNAcentral.